AGUGUUUUUGCGUGCUUAUUAGACGAAUUCACUUAAAUCGAACAGA
Gongylonema pulchrum is the source of this 46-nucleotide non-coding RNA. Lineage: Eukaryota; Metazoa; Nematoda; Chromadorea; Rhabditida; Gongylonematidae. The record is from Rfam.